AUACGUAGGUGGCAAGCGUUGUCCGGAUUUACUGGGCGUAAAGGAUGCGUAGGUGGAAACUUAAGUGGGAUGUGAAAUCCCCGGGCUCAACCCGGGAACUGCAUUCCAAACUGGGUUACUUGAGUGCAGGAGAGGAAAGCGGAAUUCCUAGUGUAGCGGUGAAAUGCGUAGAUAUUAGGAAGAACACCAGUGGCGAAGGCGGCUUUCUGGACCGUAACUGACACUGAGGCAUGAAAGCGUGGGGAGC
This 247-nucleotide ribosomal RNA is filed under the name uncultured bacterium. Its description in RNAcentral is "partial 16S ribosomal RNA". It matches the Rfam family "Bacterial small subunit ribosomal RNA", at positions 523 to 769 of the family's 1533-position model. The record is from RNAcentral.